AGAGCAAGUAAAAUAUUACGCUACAGUGCUACUGGCCCAUAAUCAGGCAACUGCAGAGUCUUAGGGGGUUAUCUAAUGUAGUCUUGGGGUGGCUGGAUAGACUUCCCAAAGAAGGUGAUGCCGAAGCUGAGGUCGGAAAUUACGAAGAUCAGCUAUCAAACUUGGAAAUCAUGUCUUAGAGAUCAAGGAGCCAAGAGAUGAGACAAGCCUGGGUUCCUAGGUGAUAGGGUGUGGCUGUGUCCCCACCCAAAUCUCGUCUUGAAUUGUAGCUCCCAUAAUCCCCACAUGUUGUGGAGGGACCCUGUGGAAGAUCUUUAAUAAAUGAAAUAAAUGUGACUGUAUGUCCUACAUCCCAUUCCUGUUGUCUUCCAUGUCUCCUCAGAGAUUGUGCCUGCAGCCUGGCCUGUUGCCCACAGCGGUCUACCUGCCACACUGGGAAAGAUCGAGCAGAGACAGAGAAGAAAAGGAGGCUCCAUUUUUCAGGCUGCUCUCCCGCAGGCUCAUGUUUUGUGUUCAUGCCAGGCAGAGAACACAAAAUGUUCCAAUAAAUAAGUAUCAAAGCAUCUACUUGUUUCCAAAGUUAUUUGGGUCAGCAUUUUCCUCCACCCACCACUUAAAACUGAUUUGUUUCAUACAUUUGAAAUGUAUGAAAAGCCAGAAAUCCAGGACCCACCCUGGCCUGCUCCCUUUUUCUCACCUACUGUGUUAAGAUGUCUACACUUUUACCUCUGCUUGCCUGAUACAACCACCACCAGUCACCUCACAGAAUAACUCACUCCUUAAGAAUCUGAUCAGGAAUCAGCCUUCCCUGAUCACAAACACUGAGUUUAGAAGUCCCUCCACAGUGUCCCCCGUAACCCUGUGCUACCUCACUGCCUCAUAGUUUAGUGCCGUUUGUGUACAUGCCUAUCUUCGUCCAUGGAUCCAGAACAACUUGUAAAAAUGACUGUACUUAUCACCUUCAGUAUUCAAUGACUAAACUAUAAUUUUAACAUAUCUGGCAGAAUGAAUCACUUGGGGAUUUCUGCCAACACUACCAAUAUAUUACUCCUAAUUUGUAAUUAUUACUUAGCAUGGAUUAUAGUACCGGCUGUUGGAGAGCCAAUGUGGCAGACCCUAAGUGGAAUAAAAUGUCAGUAGCAGUCUAGGAGCAUAUAUUUAUUGGAAUAGAUCAUUCAUUCAUUUGUUCAUUAACUAAUUUGUUCAUUAAAUAAACAUUUAUUAAGC
Molecule: long non-coding RNA, 1227 nt
Filed under: Homo sapiens (human)
Lineage: Eukaryota; Metazoa; Chordata; Mammalia; Primates; Hominidae
Description: CCDC26 long non-coding RNA
Source: RNAcentral